Molecule: long non-coding RNA, 351 nt
Filed under: Carica papaya (papaya)
Lineage: Eukaryota; Viridiplantae; Streptophyta; Magnoliopsida; Brassicales; Caricaceae
Description: long non-coding RNA (CPAP_LNC009173)
Source: RNAcentral
AAUGUCAGUCUGUAGACGAUGGUGUCAACUCUGUUUAAUAUUUUAAAUGGCCCAAUGAAUCGGGGAUUUAGCUUCCCUCUCUUGCUAAACCUGCAAAUUUCUUGGAAAGAAGUGAUCUUCAAGAACACCUGAUCGCCUUUCUCAAAUUCUAAAUCUCUCCUCCAGUUGUCUAUAUAACUUUUCUGUCUGAUCUGAGCUGUCUAAAUAUCCUUCCUGAUCUUAACUAUUUUGGUUGUAGUCUCCAUUACGAGAUCUGGGCCGAACAGUUUUCUAUCACCCACUUUUUUCCAACAUAUCAACGAUCUGCAUGGGUAGCCAUACAACGCCUCGUGUGGAGUCAUGCCGAUACUU